Molecule: long non-coding RNA, 1574 nt
Organism: Lagenorhynchus albirostris (white-beaked dolphin)
Lineage: Eukaryota; Metazoa; Chordata; Mammalia; Artiodactyla; Delphinidae
Exons: 4
Source: RefSeq, a predicted model, not a curated record
GUGUUACUUGACUGAAUGAUUAAUGAUAUUUACACAAGUAUCAUAAGUCCAACCACCAUGAUCUCUCUCCUGGACCACUUUCACGUGACCUCCUCUUGUCCACCCGGCAGCCAGACCAUCUUUCUGAAACAUCAAGCAGACUGUGUCAUUCUUCUACUCCCUGUGGUGGCCAUCCCGCUGCCUAGAAUAAGAUAAGAGCUUCCCACUGUGGCCUCUCAGACCUGCCCGGGGCCCGCCUCCACCCACUCUCCUCCUGGCCCAAUAAGUUCCACCCGCGUAGGUGUAGUUUAACAUCUCCCAGUCAUUUCUGUUUCACACCAAGCCGUCUGCGUUAGAACUUCUGCCCUUGCUCUUCUUCCCGACUAGAAUGAUUUUCCAGAAAUUUUCUCAUGAACGGCUUCCUGCCUUUCAGAUCUCAGUUCCUUAAUCAUGUCUUCAGAGAGACCUCUGACCACCUGAUCUGAACAGUCUUCUCUCUUGUUCUCUGUCCUAUCGCCCCGUUUCAGUCUCCAUAGCACACGGUUCUCUAGAAGCAGUCUGUCUAUGCACGUGUCCACCCUCUUACUGGCUGCUCCUCUGCACAGAAUACAAGCCACGCGAGAAGGGGGUUGCAUGCCUGUCUUGUUUAAUACCAGGGAGAAAGGUGUUAGGGCAGCUUGACUGUGAUCUGUUUCCCUCUAGUUACUGGGAACACACAGGGGCCACUCGGGAGAGAGAAGGCAGGUAGGCUGGACUGUCUCUGUCACCAAGGCAAUACCCCAUCUCCUGAAAAUCCAGGACAAGAUGGCUUCAUUGGUAACUCCUACCAAACAAGAAGAAUUAAUACCACUUCUUCACAAAAUCUUCCAAGAAAUUAGAGGGAACACAUCACAACUCCUUCAGUGAGUUUCCUGAAGAUUUUUGCUGAAGGAUGUCUUGCAAUCAUCAUAAGAACCACAAGGGCCGGUGCAACCACAACAUUGAUUAUUGAUAGGCUGAGAUCAACACAAUAAAUUGGUGUCGUGAUUGCACUUGGAAUUAACCAAGGGUGAUGCUCUUUACCUGCAACUUGCUUAACAACCAUCUGACUCAGGUGAGUAACACCAUCUGGGGAAGGACCACUGCUUGGCGGGGGUUGCAAGCUGCUAUGUGCUUCUGCUUAUUAUCGCCUCUGUUGUGUGUUCCCGGUGGUGUUGAUCCAAAGAUCACGGCUGCCAUAACCAUCGGACACUCUCCCAAGAGCAGUGUGAUCAAGGCCAUCUGUCUAAUGACUAACUAUAACGGCCUUAAUUGACUGUUAAUGUGGGGAGGGUUCUCCAUGCCUUGAGGCCAGGAGGUGGAUUGGAUGGCAAGGCUAUUGUCAUGGUCCAAGGAGAGGCUCUGGGCUAAAGGACGUGAGGACAGGAUUCCGCAGGUGAGCAGGACGAGAGACCUCUGCCUUCAACCUCUGACUCAGUGAGUUGCGCCCGGACUACGUGUCCUAACCCAGAAGAGUGAAGUAACCUUGCACCCAGAAACCAGUGGCACCACCCCUGACCCAGUGGGAUAUUAUGGAUCCAAUCCCUGGUGUGAUGUUGCUAAAAAAUAAUGGACAA